This 219-nucleotide ribosomal RNA is filed under the name uncultured bacterium. RNAcentral describes it as "partial 16S ribosomal RNA". It matches the Rfam family "Bacterial small subunit ribosomal RNA", at positions 57 to 305 of the family's 1533-position model. The record is from RNAcentral.
GCAAGUCGAACGGGGUGCAAUACCUAUCGGCAGACGGGUGCGGAACAUGUGGGAAUCGUCCUUUUGGUGCAGAACAACAUGGGGAAACCUAUGCUAAUCACGUAUAAGUACUAACGGAGAAAGUUUUAAUGCCAAAAGAUGAGCCCGCAUUUGAUUAGCUUGUUGGUGAGGUAAUAGCUCACCAAGGCUAUGAUCAAUAGCUGAUUUGAGAGGAUGAUC